Molecule: ribosomal RNA, 253 nt
Filed under: uncultured bacterium
Lineage: Bacteria
Description: partial 16S ribosomal RNA
Rfam family: Bacterial small subunit ribosomal RNA
Source: RNAcentral
UACGGGGGGGGCAAGCGUUGUUCGGAAUUACUGGGCGUAAAGGGUUUGUAGGUGGCUUGCUAAGUCAGACGUGAAAUCCCUCAGCUUAACUGGGGAACUGCGUCUGAUACUGGUGAGCUUGAGUGCAGGAGAGGAACGCGGAAUUCCAGGUGUAGCGGUGAAAUGCGUAGAUAUCUGGAGGAAUACCGGUGGCGAAGGCGGCAUCCUGGACCGGCAUUGACGCUGAGGAGCGAAAGCCAGGGGAGCAAACGGG